AAGAGCGCCAUUCGUGCUCGUUGAUGGCGAACCAAUCUUCCAUAAACAGCAACAAUGCGACGUCGCCGCCCUCUCCAUCGCCGGGGGGAGAUUCGUUCAUCGGGAGUUUCAUAAGCGUUCUGUCGAAAUCGGAGAUUCGUUACGAGGGCAUUCUUUACUUCCUCAAUACUCAGGACUCCACCUUCGGCCUCAAAGAUGUGAGAUCAUUUGGCACAGAGGGAAGAAGGAAUGAUGGACAAGAAGUUCCACCAAGCGACAAAGUCUUUGAAUACAUUCUGUUUCGUGGGAGUGAUAUUAAAGAUUUAAAAGUAAUAACUAACCCACCAGUUCAAAAGCAGGAGAAACUACAUGAUGAUCCUGCAAUUAUAGAGUCAAACCAUCAUAUUCCGCCAUCCAGUUCAUCCCAUUUGGUCUCAGGAUAUUCGACCGAAUCCAAGUUGUACAGUGAACCAUCUGGAAUUAAUGCGAGAUCCUACUUAAACAUGUUGCCUUCUAAUCCUUCUGGAAGUCAGAUGGGGUGGGAUUCUUCUCAGUGUACUUACAGUGGUUCAUCUUCAUAUGACAUGCCAUUAUCAACACAAGGCCAGGGAUAUUGUGCAGCACCAGGGAGCAUUACUAUUACUCAACAUCUGCCACCAACUCCCAUGAAAUAUCCAAUGCAGAAUCAAGUUCUUACAACCAUGGCAAUGGCAAAUAUAUCAGAUGUUGUUCCUUCUGAGUAUCAACUUGCAACAUCCAGUUCUAGUGGUUUAAAUUCGUCAACCAAUCCUACUUCUGAGCAACUGCCUCCAUCCAUGCCGUUCAUUAAUUCACUUUCUUUUAAGCAGUCCCAGCCCUUAUAUAAUUCCACAUUAAUAAACUCAAGGGGGUUGACCCAACCUUUUCCAUUAGCCUACCAGAAUGCAGGUAGCACUGAAGCUCAAGCUGUUAACAAAGUUAUUCCCGAUCCUGCAUCAUCCCUUCCUGCUCAGUUCUUACCAUAUUCAGCAUCUUCUGUUAUGGGUCAAGUAUCAAACUUCUCUCUUGGAGCUUCAAACUUGUCACAACCCAGAUUAUCUGAAUAUUCUCCGUCAAACAAUUUGUAUUCGGAACAGAAGGAUACAACUGAUAUUAGUUCAAGUUCUCUAAAUUUCUUGUCAUCAGCUGCUGGCCCAGCAGUUCAACCGCCUCUUUUGCCAUUGCCACCAGCUUCGCAAAAGUUGCCAUCCCCACUCCAAUAUACUGAAGAAUUUGAUUUUGAAGCAAUGAAUGAGAAGUUUAAGAAAGAUGAAGUAUGGGGUUAUCUUGGGAAAGCAAACCAAAGAGAGAAUAUGGAUGGGAUGCAAAGUGAAAAUAGUGGCCAAGAGUUUGGGGAUAAUAAAAUUGACUUGAUAUCCAACAGUGAUCCCAAGCCUGCAUACAGCAAGGAUGACUUCUUCGAUACAAUUUCUUGUAAUUCUCGCGGGCGGGGAACUAGGGAUGGGCAGAAUCGAUUAUCCGAGAGAGUUAAAUUAGACUCGGAGACAUUUGGCUAUUUUCAAAGAAGAACUCAGUUUGGUUACCGUGGGCAGAGAGGUGGGCAUGGUCAGCAUCGUGGCCCAUACAAUUGGGGAAGAGGAUAUAAUUAUGGUUAUAGAGGUCAUGGUCGUUACAUGUAAAGAUGACAGAGGACAAUUCAUGAUUCGGAGCAUGAAAGCUGGUGAAACUUGAAAUUGAUCUUCUUUCGGUCCUUCAACAAGUUGAUUCUCAAGACAAGCCGUGAUGGAUAAUGGGAUUAGUUAGCAUGAGACUUUAUUAUAUUUUCUUUGACACCUAUAGCUUAGACACUGGGGGUCAUGAUUUUUUUGCUCUUGAACCUGCCGGCUCUUCAAAUUACUAGUUUCUAACUUUGUUUCGCCUAACAGCUGCUAUACCGGUGCCAAGGGUUGAGCCGAGAGCCAGCAAGGUGAGUAUGGCUGAACCAAUGUAGACUCCAUCUUUAACUAGGUAGCACUCUCCAUCUAACCAUCCUUCUCCAAAGGCUUGACUCUGGUUCAUGCUGCUUGCUGCACUUAAUAAAACCACUGCAACUCCAAAGCCAAUCCUGCAGCAUCAUUCAUUAAAUUUUAUACUUAGUAUUGCUUUAACAAAACUGUCUAGAAGUUAUUAUCUGUUUUCCUAGAUUUUACACCCUAGAACUAUGCCAUACUCAACAGUAGAAUUCAUGCAUAUGAUAUGAUAUUAGUUUCUUGAUUUGAUUAAAUAUUUAGGGGAAACUGGUGAGGGAGGAAGUCUAACCAGGAAAAAACGAGUAAAGUGCGUGUUACUGUAAAAUAGCCCCCCUUUUUUCUUGGACUGAAUUUUCUGUAAAUGAAUAAACUACCGGCGACUUGAUUGAUGCUAAGACAGAUUAAGGCUGCGAUUCCUAGUUCGAAUGACACAGUUCCAGGCAGGUAACACAGCUUUCCAUCGAAUACGAGAUCAUCUUUCUGAAAAAAAGAGGGGGGGAAUCUCAAUGUUACAGGAUAAAAUUGGGAUGUGGUUGGCCACAGUUAGACUACCUUAGUUUUCUUGAGUUCUGCAGCGAGGCAUAAGGCGAAGGAGACGAUGGCGAUGGAGGAGAAGAUAUAUCGAUUUAGUGGUUGCAUAUACAUGGGGGUGUGGAGUUCGUAUAGAGGAGGGGAGGAGGUGGAAGAUGAUGAUAUGGAGAGGUGGCUUGGAGUUUACUCAAAGGGAAGCAGAGUUUGAAAUGUGUUGCUUUCUUUUGUUGGUUGGCUGUGACUGUGUUUUUCUUAAGACGGGAUGUUUCAUAUGUAAAAACAAUUUGUGAUAAGUAGUAAUAGUAACAAUUUUUAUUAA
This is an RNA transcript of Salvia hispanica, 2817 nucleotides long. It is a transcript of the gene named decapping 5-like protein, with no coding region annotated. NCBI's taxonomy places the organism in Eukaryota, Viridiplantae, Streptophyta, Magnoliopsida, Lamiales, Lamiaceae. The record is from RefSeq and is a predicted model, not a curated record.